Molecule: long non-coding RNA, 573 nt
Filed under: Nicotiana tabacum (common tobacco)
Lineage: Eukaryota; Viridiplantae; Streptophyta; Magnoliopsida; Solanales; Solanaceae
Description: long non-coding RNA (NTAB_LNC016507)
Source: RNAcentral
ACGUAGCCUAAGUAGUUGAUCUCUGUGGGAAUAUAUCUUAAACAAUACUAUAAAUUGACAGACUACGAACUUUAUUUUCUAUCAUCAACAACUUUAAUAAUUGCCACCCAUGCUAAAAUGAUAACCUUGCUAUAUAACUCAAUUAAAAUUCCUGUCCCCAAGCAGAAAAUACGAUCUCCUCCAUUCACAAGUCUAUGACAAUCAAAACAAAUGGGCACCCGAUUCCAGCUUUCUUAAACUACUUCACAUUAUACACAAAAUAACUCUUUCAGCAGGUCCACUAACUCCAAUCAUUUUGUAGAUAAUACCAAUCAGCCACUUAUUACAAAUGUUCUUUCCCUGAGAUAUUCAAGAAUGGAAGUUACAAGAUUAACUGGUUUUCAUGUUCUCCUAUAAAAACUUUUGAUGAAUGAAGGAAAUAAUUAAACGAAACGAAAUUUAAAACAGAUAAACAUAGGGAUUUAAGUUACCUAUUCCGAUAUCGGGAUGAAUUAUCACGAUAUUCAUCUUCGAGCUCCCUCGCUUCGCCAUUGCUGGUUCUCCCAAAAUAUGUCGCAUGAAAGAGCGGAGAUA